Molecule: ribosomal RNA, 401 nt
Filed under: uncultured diatom
Lineage: Eukaryota; Bacillariophyta
Description: bacterial SSU rRNA
Rfam family: Bacterial small subunit ribosomal RNA
Source: RNAcentral
UAGGGAAUUUUCCGCAAUGGGCGAAAGCCUGACGGAGCAAUACCGCGUGAGGGAUGACGGCCUAUGGGUUGUAAACCUCUUUUUUCAGGGAGGAAUCAAUGACGUGUACCUGAAGAAUAAGCAUCGGCUAACUCCGUGCCCGCAGCCGCGGUAAGACGGAGGAUGCAAGUGUUAUCCGGAAUCACUGGGCGUAAAGCGUCUGUAGGUGGUCAAAUAAGUCAACUGUUAAAUCUUGAGGCUCAACCUCAAAACCGCAGUCGAAACUAUUAGACUAGAGUAUAGUAGGGGUAAAGGGAAUUUCCAGUGGAGCGGUGAAAUGCGUAGAGAUUGGAAGGAACACCGAUGGCGAAGGCACUUUACUGGGCUAUUACUAACACUCAGAGACGAAAGCUAGGGUAGCA